UGGGGAAUAUUGCACAAUGGGCGCAAGCCUGAUGCAGCCAUGCCGCGUGUAUGAAGAAGGCCUUCGGGUUGUAAAGUACUUUCAGCGGGGAGGAAGGUGUUGUGGUUAAUAACCACAGCAAUUGACGUUACCCGCAGAAGAAGCACCGGCUAACUCCGUGCCAGCAGCCGCGGUAAUACGGAGGGUGCAAGCGUUAAUCGGAAUUACUGGGCGUAAAGCGCACGCAGGCGGGCUGUCAAGGCGGAUGUGAAAUCCCCGGGCUCAACCUGGGAACUGCAUCCGAAACUGGCAGGCUUGAGUCUUGUAGAGGGGGGUAGAAUUCCAGGUGUAGCGGUGAAAUGCGUAGAGAUCUGGAGGAAUACCGGUGGCGAAGGCGGCCCCCUGGACAAAGACUGACGCUCAGGUGCGAAAGCGUGGGGAGCAAACA
RNAcentral lists this ribosomal RNA (427 nucleotides) under uncultured bacterium. RNAcentral describes it as "partial 16S ribosomal RNA". It matches the Rfam family "Bacterial small subunit ribosomal RNA", at positions 355 to 774 of the family's 1533-position model. The record is from RNAcentral.